CAUUUCUUUUAACAAUAUUAGAGGUAGGGCCUGCCCACUGAUUUAUUAAAGGGCCGCAGUAUUUUAACUGUGCAAAGGUAGCAUAAUCAUUAGCUUCUUAAUUAGGAGAUAGAAUGAAUGGCUUAACAAUUUAUUUUUUUAUUUUUUAUGAUUAUUGAAUUUGAAUUUAAAGUGAGAAUGCUUUAUUUUUUAUAAUAGACGAUAAGACCCUAUAGAUCUUUAUUAUUUUAUUAAUAAGAUCUUAAGUAAAAUAGUUUUGCUGGGGUAGUAUUAGAAUAAAUUUAAAUUUCUUUAUUUUCUUUUUAAUUUUUCUUUUUUUUUAGGAUUAAACUAGAUACCUUAGGGAUAACAGCGUAAUAUUCUUGAAGAGUUCUUAUCAAUAGGAUAUCUUGCGACCUCGAUGUUGAAUUAAGGUGUUUGGAUUGGGCAGUUUUAAUUUUUAUUAGUCUGUUCGACUACUAUGAUCUUACAUGAUUUGA
RNAcentral lists this ribosomal RNA (479 nucleotides) under Pygmarrhopalites sp. A3 AK-2018. RNAcentral's name for it is "partial 16S ribosomal RNA". It matches the Rfam family "Bacterial large subunit ribosomal RNA", at positions 1827 to 2608 of the family's 2925-position model. Lineage: Eukaryota; Metazoa; Arthropoda; Collembola; Symphypleona; Arrhopalitidae. The record is from RNAcentral.